RNAcentral lists this ribosomal RNA (253 nucleotides) under uncultured bacterium. Its description in RNAcentral is "partial 16S ribosomal RNA". It matches the Rfam family "Bacterial small subunit ribosomal RNA", at positions 524 to 776 of the family's 1533-position model. The record is from RNAcentral.
UACAGAGGUCUCAAGCGUUGUUCGGAAUCACUGGGCGUAAAGGGUGCGUAGGCUGUUUUGUAAGUUGGAUGUGAAAUGCCGGGGCUCAACUCCGGAACUGCAUCUGAAACUGCAAGACUUGAACAAUGGAGGGGAAACCGGAAUUCUCGGUGUAGCAGUGAAAUGCGUAGAUAUCGAGAAGAAGACUUGUGGCGAAGGCGGGUUUCUGGACAUAUGUUGACGCUGAGGCACGAAGGCCAGGGGAGCGAAAGGG